GACGAACGCUGGCGGCGUGCUUAACACAUGCAAGUCGAACGGAAAGGCCCUGCUUUUGUGGGGUGCUCGAGUGGCGAACGGGUGAGUAACACGUGAGUAACCUGCCCUUGACUUUGGGAUAACUUCAGGAAACUGGGGCUAAUACCGGAUAGGAGCUCCUGCUGCAUGGUGGGGGUUGGAAAGUUUCGGUGGUUGGGGAUGGACUCGCGGCUUAUCAGGUUGUUGGGGGGGUAGUGGCUUACCAAGGCUUUGACGGGUAGCAGGGCUGGGAGGGUAAGCGGCUACACUGGGACUGGAAUGCGGCACAGCCUCGUACGGGAGGCAGCGGUGCGGAAUAGUGCACAGUGGGCGGAGGCCUAAUGCAGCAACGCAGCGUGCGGGAUGACGGCAAUCGGGUUGUAAACCGAUGUCGCCUGUCACGAAGCGAGAGUGACGGUACUGGGUAAAGAAGCACCGGCUAACUCCGUG
Molecule: ribosomal RNA, 468 nt
Filed under: uncultured bacterium
Lineage: Bacteria
Description: partial 16S ribosomal RNA
Rfam family: Bacterial small subunit ribosomal RNA
Source: RNAcentral